Molecule: non-coding RNA, 119 nt
Organism: Ornithorhynchus anatinus (platypus)
Lineage: Eukaryota; Metazoa; Chordata; Mammalia; Monotremata; Ornithorhynchidae
Source: RefSeq, marked provisional
AAUAAAUCAGUGCAUCUGAAUAUAAAGGGAUAUACAGAUUCGAGUAUGCAUAUGUAAUAUACUCUAUGUGCACACUCAUAUCUGUAUAACCCUAUAUAUUCAUAUAUAUUGUAUAUAUU